This 45-nucleotide non-coding RNA is filed under the name Trichobilharzia regenti. Lineage: Eukaryota; Metazoa; Platyhelminthes; Trematoda; Strigeidida; Schistosomatidae. The record is from RNAcentral.
AUCUAGUUGACGAGUCCCAAAUAGGACGAAAUGCGUAUCCUGGAU